This 328-nucleotide ribosomal RNA is filed under the name uncultured bacterium. RNAcentral describes it as "bacterial SSU rRNA". It matches the Rfam family "Bacterial small subunit ribosomal RNA", at positions 588 to 916 of the family's 1533-position model. The record is from RNAcentral.
UUAGAGGUGAAAUCCCGGGGCUCAACCCUGGAACUGCCUUUAAUACUGCUAGUCUUGAGUUCGAGAGAGGUAAGUGGAAUUCCGAGUGUAGAGGUGAAAUUCGUAGAUAUUCGGAGGAACACCAGUGGCGAAGGCGGUUUACUGGCUCGAUACUGACGCUGAGGUGCGAAAGUGUGGGGAGCAAACAGGAUUAGAUACCCUGGUAGUCCACACCGUAAACGAUGAAUGCCAGACGUCAGGGAAUAUACUUGUUGGUGUCACACCUAACGGAUUAAGCAUUCCGCCUGGGGAGUACGGUCGCAAGAUUAAAACUCAAAUGAAUUGACGG